RNAcentral lists this transfer RNA (83 nucleotides) under Lambia antarctica. Its description in RNAcentral is "tRNA-Ser". It matches the Rfam family "tRNA". From Rfam's summary of the family: Transfer RNA (tRNA) molecules are approximately 80 nucleotides in length. Their secondary structure includes four short double-helical elements and three loops (D, anti-codon, and T loops). Lineage: Eukaryota; Viridiplantae; Chlorophyta; Ulvophyceae; Bryopsidales; Bryopsidaceae. The record is from RNAcentral.
GGGAAGGUGGCAGAGCGGUUUAAUGCACCGGUUUUGAAAACCGACGUAGGUGACUACCGGGGGUUCGAAUCCCUCCCUUUCCG